UACGGAAGGCAGCAGUGGGGAAUAUUGCACAAUGGGCGAAAGCCUGAUGCAGCUAUGCCGCGUGUAUGAAGAAGGCCUUAGGGUUGUAAAGUACUUUCAGCAGGGAGGAAAGAAAUAAAACUAAUAAUUUUAUUUUGUGACGUUACCUGAAGAAGAAGCACCGGCUAACUCCGUGCCAGCAGCCGCGGUAAUACGGAGGGUGCAAGCGUUAAUCAGAAUUACUGGGCGUAAAGAGCGCGUAGGUGGUUUUUUUAAGUCAGAUGUGAAAUCCCUAGGCUUAACCUAGGAACUGCAUUUUGAAACUGAAAACUAGAGUAUCGUAGAGGGAGGUAGAAUUCUAGGUGUAGCGGUGAAAUGCGUAGAUAUCUGGAGGAAUACCUGUGGCGAAAGCGGCCUCCUAAACGAAUACUGACACUGAGGUGCGAAAGCGUGGGGAGCAAACAGGGAUUAGAUACC
Molecule: ribosomal RNA, 456 nt
Filed under: uncultured bacterium
Lineage: Bacteria
Description: bacterial SSU rRNA
Rfam family: Bacterial small subunit ribosomal RNA
Source: RNAcentral